Molecule: non-coding RNA, 63 nt
Filed under: Homo sapiens (human)
Lineage: Eukaryota; Metazoa; Chordata; Mammalia; Primates; Hominidae
Source: RNAcentral
UGUCCAAGCUACUUAGGAGUCUGAGGUGUGAAGAUCACUUGGGCUCAGGAGUUUGAGACCAGC